This 21-nucleotide non-coding RNA is filed under the name Arabidopsis thaliana (thale cress). The record is from RNAcentral. Lineage: Eukaryota; Viridiplantae; Streptophyta; Magnoliopsida; Brassicales; Brassicaceae.
UGAGAUGUACUACUAAAUGCA